Molecule: small RNA, 415 nt
Filed under: Arabidopsis thaliana (thale cress)
Lineage: Eukaryota; Viridiplantae; Streptophyta; Magnoliopsida; Brassicales; Brassicaceae
Description: ATSL173080
Source: RNAcentral
UGGUUGGGUUUGUCGAGUAGAAUAGAGGGGGCGAAUAAGUCUAAGUGGCGAUACUAUCUCAGAUAGCAUAGAAGUCCAUGAUUGCUUAUACGUUUUUGCGUUAGUUUUCGGAGAAAUUGUAGGCUUCUAUCUUGAGGUUUUGUGAACGGGCCUUACAUAGAUUUGCUCGUGGCAACUAAGAUGAGGACUCCAGUUAUUUGGUUCUGUGGCAACCACGCAAAUUUUCGAGUUUCGCGGAUUUGGAAUCUGUGUUUCUCCUUACAACUUGACUUUGACCGCUUAGCAGUGAUCCUUUGCAAUUUGAGUUGUAAUGUUGUCUUUAUAUUUCUGUAGAUUGCUUUAAUCUGUUUCAUGUUUUCCCUGUAAUUCUGUCAAAAAUGAAAAUGGUAUAAAAUUUAACCUUUUAUUAAAAAAA